AGAGUUUGAUCCUGGCUCAGAACGUACGCUGGCGGCACGCCUAAUACAUGCAAGUCGAACGAAGUAGCAAUACUUAGUGGCAGACGGGUGAGUAACAUGUGGGUAUCUUCCCUUUGGUGAGGAAUAACACGAGGAAACUUGUGCUAAUACCUCAUAAGUCUUUACGGAGAAAGCUUUAUGCGCCAUAGGAUGAGCCCGCACUUGAUUAGUUUGUUGGUGGGGUAAUGGCCUACCAAGACUGUGAUCAAUAGCUGAUUUGAGAGGAUGAUCAGCCACAUUGGGACUGAGACACGGCCCAAACUCCUACGGGAGGCAGCAGUAGGGAAUCUUGCACAAUGGAGGAAACUCUGAUGCAGCGAUGCCGCGUGAGUGAAGAAGGCCUUUGGGUUGUAAAGCUCUUUCGUCGGGGAAGAAAAUGACUGUACCCGAAUAAGAAGGUCCGGCUAACUUCGUGCCAGCAGCCGCGGUAAUACGAAGGGACCUAGCGUAGUUCGGAAUUACUGGGCUUAAAGAGUUCGUAGGUGGUUAAAAUAGUUGGUGGUGAAAUCCCAGAGCUUAACUCUGGAACUGCCAUCAAAACUUUUUAGCUAGAGUAUGAUAGAGGAAAGCAGAAUUUCUAGUGUAGAGGUGAAAUUCGUAGAUAUUAGAAAGAAUACCAAUUGCGAAGGCAGCUUUCUGGAUCAUUACUGACACUGAGGAACGAAAGCAUGGGUAGCGAAGAGGAUUAGAUACCCUCGUAGUCCAUGCCGUAAACGAUGUGUGUUAGACGUUGGAAAUUUAUUUUCAGUGUCGCAGCGAAAGCGAUAAACACACCGCCUGGGGAGUACGACCGCAAGGUUAAAACUCAAAUGAAUUGACGGGGACCCGCACAAGUAGUGGAGCAUGUGGUUUAAUUCGAAGAUACGCGCAGAACCUUACCAACACUUGACAUGUUCGUCGCGACUCUAAGAGAUUAGAGUUUUCGGUUCGGCCGGACGAAACACAGGUGCUGCAUGGCUGUCGUCAGCUCGUGUCGUGAGAUGUUGGGUUAAGUCCCGCAACGAGCGCAACCCUCACUUUUAGUUGCCACCAUUAAGUUGGGCACUCUGAAAGAACUGCCAGUGAUAAGCUGGAGGAAGGUGGGGAUGACGUCAAGUCCUCAUGGCCCUUAUGUGUUGGGCUACACACGUGCUACAAUGGCAUCUACAACAGGAAGCAAAACGGCAACGUUAAGCAAAUCCCGAAAAGAUGCCUCAGUUCGGAUUGCACUCUGCAACUCGAGUGCAUGAAGCUGGAAUUACUAGUAAUCGUGGAUCAGCGUGCCACGGUGAAUACGUUCCCGGGUCUUGUACACACCGCCCGUCACACCAUGGGAGUUGGUUCUACCUUAAGGCAAGGUUUUAAACCCUUGACCACGGUAUAGUCAGCGACUGGGGUGAAGUCGUAACAAGGUAACC
Molecule: ribosomal RNA, 1436 nt
Filed under: uncultured bacterium
Lineage: Bacteria
Description: bacterial SSU rRNA
Rfam family: Bacterial small subunit ribosomal RNA
Source: RNAcentral